This is a long non-coding RNA of Salvia splendens (bonfire salvia), 8395 nucleotides long. RefSeq lists it as uncharacterized. The record is from RefSeq and is a predicted model, not a curated record. Lineage: Eukaryota; Viridiplantae; Streptophyta; Magnoliopsida; Lamiales; Lamiaceae. The transcript has 22 exons.
GAGUAAAAAAAAGCCAAGGCUAGAAAAAAUUAAAUAAAAAGGCAGCCUUCUUGAGUAAAAAAAAAAGCCAAGGCUUGAAAAAAAAUAUUGAGCGAAAAAUAGAAAUGAUAAAAGAAUGCUCAAAAGAAUAAGUUGACUUGGUUAGAUGGUCGAAAAAUCUCAUGUUUGGGGUGUUGAGCUGUGAGAAAUUUGUAAGCAUUGACUGAUAUGUGAAAGAUGUUGUGAUGGAUGUGCUAGUAUUUUAAGAAUGGUGGUAAGCUACUUUACCAUAUAUUAUCCCACCUUUACCAAAAGCCCCAUUACAACCCAAUGAAUAAGACCUUUUCAUUUAUGCAUCAUAUUGACUUGUGAGCGAUGAAUUUUGCUUGAAUUUGGGAGAAAGAUCUUAUGUGCUUAAAAUAAAGAAUAGCCGGAAGAACUUCUCUUUAGGAAUUAGUAACGAUGGUUUGAGACUCCCAAGACACAACUCGAACUUAUAUUGAAGCAUGGGAUGCCUAGGUCUUAGGGAAUUAGUUCGUGUACAAUUCUUGUUCGAAAGUUUUACCCGCGAGUGAAUUCACGGUCGACCUAAUUUCCCUACUGAUUCGUUGGCGUGACUUGAAUGAGAGGAUUAUCUAAUAUCUUCUGACUGUGCUUUAUUGUCUAAGCUCGAGGGCUAGCAAGACUUAAGUUAUGGGGGUGUUUGAUGUGAGUGGGUAAUUGUGUAACUUGUUCCUUGGAGUAUACAAUGGAAUGGAGGGUAGCGUAUUACUGCUCCAAGUCAGUUGUGACCACUUCGAUAUUAAGCUGGUCUUGCUGUGUCCAAAAUCUGAAGAUCACGAUACCAGGAUGUGUGGAAAGAAUUUCAAUUUGAGUCAGAUUAAAGAGCUGUGUGCCAAUCCUAUUGUAUUUGAGACGACUGAGAUAAUUUCUAGAGCAGUCAUUUCAGCUGGAAUCACAAACAGAGUUGACACCGAUGAAUAGAAUCCAUCCACUGAUACACAUCUUCCUCGAUUGAUAACCUCUCUGGAAAUGUUGUGAUACACCCAAAAUUUUAAUUAUUAUUCCAGCAGUUGUGUUUGUCUACGACAGUUUGAUCAACUAGCACGGGACCAAGUUUUCUAUAGAUUGCAAACUUGAGUUUGCUCGUACUGCUUGCUCAUCUAAAUUCUGCUGCUGGGCUGCGCUGCAAGCAAAACUCGUUCCUUUGUUGAGAGCUCUACUUUACUGUUGAUCAAGUUCCAGAGAUGUCCACUGUUCUUCAAUAACCAUGUUCGAGCCUUGUUUCCAUUCAAUAUACAUCCAAAACAUGUUAUCCCAGCUAGCCAUAUUCUUUCCAAGUCUCUUUUCUCAGCCCUCUUACAAUCACUGCUCUUGAGGGCAAAUAAAAUCAAACUCAGGGGAGAAAGCUUUGGUUCUGCUUUCGGAUAGAAGUGUAGUGACAGUUCCCACAGAAGACCUUCUACCAACCAAUCCUCGGAUACUUGACUAAGUUGAUGAUCUUCCACAACUAAGUUAUUUGAGCGUUUAGUUCUGCACAAUCUUCAAUGUAGAUAUUUACAAGAUAAUUUAAAUAGAAUGGCAGGCUCUGGAUUUUUGUCCGUCAAUCCAUUUAAAAAUGUCUAGCUAUAUGGGGAUGAUAAAGAAAGAAGCUUUUGGACACUCCUCAUGUUUAUGUUGUAGCUGAUGCGGCAUACAAUGCAAUGAUAGCAGAUGAAGUAAGCCUGGCUAUAAUUAUCAGUUUAAGCUGAAAAGGUUAAGAGAGUGGACGGAAGGGGCACAAAAUGAGGAAAUUGACUGAUAAGAAAGGAGGGAGGUGCAAAAAAAAAGUAAAAAAAGAAAGAAAAAAAGAAAAAAAAGAAAGGAGGUGCAAAAAAGAAAAAGAAAAAAAAGUAAGAUGGAGAUGCAUGCAAAAAUAUAAGAUAAAGCGUUGUUGGUGGAGAUGGAAUCAAGAACUGUUACAAGGGAGAAAAGGAGUUGAUAUAGGAGAGGAAUGAGGCUGACAUAGGGGGGGACAAGAUGAGGAAGUUGCCUGAUAAGAAAGAAGGAGAUGCAAAAAAUAAGAAAGAAAGAAAGAAAGAAGGAGAUGCACGCAAAGAAAGAAGAUAAAGAUCUGUUGGAGAGAUGAAAUCAACAACCUCAUGAACUAUUACAAGGGAGAAAAGGAGUUGAAGUAGGAGAGGAAUAGGAUGACACAGUUCUGAACAUUCAAGGGAAGAAGAGAAAACUGCCCAGUCUAGGACAUGCUCCAGAUCCCAUGACGUGCAGAAGCUGACCAACACAAGGUGACCCCCUUUCUUUUCUUUUAUUCUUCUUUUUAUUGGUUGGUCAGUGUUUUUAGUCUUCUUCCACACUAAGCCCAACUUGCAAGUAUGUCCUUAGUGGGAGGAGGUGUUCAUUAUUGUCUUGCUUUUGUUUGUAUUUUUGUGUAUAUGUUUUAGUAGCAAGUCGGACCUAGUGUACAUUCAAAGAUGAUUAUUCGUGCUUUUGUUUGAUGAGUUCAGUUUUUAACUACAUGACUCCAGUUGAGUGAUUUAAGAAUGAUGGAAUAUUGAGUUUAAGUUGGAUGAAAGCUACAUUACGUGAAAUUUGAGCCUUGAUGUAAAACACUCUACUUUAUUCUGAGUGACUUUAUUUUGCAUGUAUUCUUCAUGAGGUAUGGUCAAUAUGCAAUAGGCAUCGAGGGCAACUAGGAUAACCAUGUUUGAGCCUUGUUUCCAUUCAAUGUACAUCCAACACAUGUUAUCCCAGCUAGCCGUAUUCUUGCCAAGUUUCUUUUCUCAGCCCUCUUACAAUCACUGCUCUUGAGGGCAAAUAAAAUCAAACUCAGGGGAGAAAGCUUUGGUUCUGCUUUCGGAUAGAAGUGUAGUGACAGUUCCCACAGAAGACCUUCUACCAACUAAUCCUCGGAUACUUGACUAAGUUGAUGAUCUUCCACAACUAAGUUAUUUGAGAGUUUAGUUCUGCACAAUCUUCAAUAUAGAUAUUUACAAGAUAAUUUAAAUAGAAUGGCAGGCUCUGGAUUUUUGUCCGUCAAUCCAUUUAAAAAUGUCUAGCUAUAUGGGGAUGAUAAAGAAAGAAGCUUUUGGACACUCCUCAUGCUUAUGUUGUAGCUGAUGCGGCAUACAAUGCAAUGAUAGCAGAUGAAGUAAGCCUGGCUAUAAUUAUCAGUUUAAGCUGAAAAGGUUAAGAGAGUGGACGGAAGGGGCACAAAAUGAGGAAAUUGACUGAUAAGAAAGGAGGGAGGUGCAAAAAAAAAGUAAAAAAAGAAAGAAAAAAAGAAAAAAAAGAAAGGAGGUGCAAAAAAGAAAAAAAAAGUAAGAUGGAGAUGCAUGCAAAAAUAUAAGAUAAAGCGUUGUUGGUGGAGAUGGAAUCAAGAACUGUUACAAGGGAGAAAAGGAGUUGAUAUAGGAGAGGAAUGAGGCUGACAUAGGGGGGAACAAGAUGAGGAAGUUGCCUGAUAAGAAAGAAGGAGAUGCUAAAAAUAAGAAAGAAAGAAAGAAGGAGGUGCACGCAAAGAAAGAAGAUAAAGAUCUGUUGGAGAGAUGAAAUCAACAACCUCAUGAACUAUUACAAGGGAGAAAAGGAGUUGAAGUAGGAGAGGAAUAGGCUGACACAGUUCUGAACAGGCAAGGGAAGAAGAGAAAACUGCCCAGUCUAGGACAUGCUCCAGAUCCCAUGACGUGCAGAAGCUGACCAACACAAGGGCAAAUAAAAUCAAACUCAGGGGAGAAAGCUUUGGUUCUAGUUUCGGAUAGAAGUGUAGUGACAGUUCCCACACAAGACCUUCUACCAACCAAUCCUCGGAUACUUUACUAAGUUGAUGAUCUUCCACAACUAAGUUAUUUGAGCGAGCCUUUUGUUCUUCACAAUCUUCAAUAUAGAUAUUUACAAGAUAAUUUAAAUAGAAUGGCAGGCCCUAUAUUAUUGUCAGUCAAUCCAUUUAAAAUAUCCAGUUAUAUGGGGAUGAUAUAGCAAGUAGCUUGCUGAUGCAACAUGCAAUGCAACGAUAGCAGAUGAAGUAAGCCAAGCUAUAAUUAUCAGAUUUAUUUGCUACCACUUGGUUUGGUACUCUGUUUAAGUUAAAGGUGAAAUGGAAAGAGAGUGAAUGGAGGGACAAAAUGAGGAUGUUGGCUGAUAGAAAAGAAAGAGAUGCAAGCAAAGAAAGAAGAAAAAGAGCUGUUGGAGAAGAUGAAAUCAGUAACCUCAAAAACCGUUACAGAGGAUAAAAGGGUUGAAAUAGGAGAGGAAUGAGGCUGACACAGUUUUGGAGUUGCAAGGUAAGAAGAGAAAUCAAGACAUGCAAAUGAGAAUGUAUACUUGACAAGGGAAAACUAGUGCCAGCAUUGUGGAGUACCACUAGCUGACAUCACAUGAUCUCUCAUCUACUUAUGAGGGCUUGCGAUAGAGAAUGCAGCUUGAUUUUUUGGGAACCUUAGAUUCUAUCAGAAUUUGAAAAGAAGACUAGAAACAUGCCUUCGAGAAGCUUGCUGCCGUUUUGUGACUGAGAACAUAUCAUUUCUUGUAACUGAUAAUCAAAAGCACAUCAAGGUUGUUUCUGAUGAAGGUAUCUGCAUGUUCUAAUUCAUUAAUGCAUUAAUCAACUUAAUGUUGAUUGUUUUGAUUUCAAAUUGUGCAUUAAAUAUUUUAGCAUAACCCUUAUGAUAUAUGAAUUUUGUUAUUGGUUCUGAUGAAACAUAUUUACAAUCAAAAGAGUAUGAGUUGGAUGAAAUUGACUGGAAAAGGAUUUUGAAGACAACCAAGAUUUUGUAUGUCCUUUUGAGAAGGUAAUCAGGGUUCUUAUUUUUGUAUAGUAGGGUUUUCCUUUAUCACGCAGCAUUUUGAUUGACAUAGUUCUAUUUAUGUCUAUGGGUGGGAUGAGGAGAAGGCCACUAAAGCCAUUUUCUGUUAAUCAGUAACACAUUAUCUACUAAUUGUUAUUUUAUUUUUGUCUGACUUUUACUUGCAUUAGUUGAAUAGAUAUGUUUUUAGUAUCGAACAAAUUAUGUCUCUUAACUUAUGGUGUGCUUGAUUAGACAUGUAUUGGAUUCAUACUUAACAUUUGCUUGUAAACUUAAACAUCACUUCAGUACUAACCGUUGGUUUAUGGAACACUUUAUCUUGGGUUAUUUUUGAGCUUUAAUUGUACAAUGCCAAUUUGGCCCACAUCUGUAGAGGAGAGACUGUCUACAGAAUCAGCCCUACCUCAAUUCCUUGGAGAGGAAGUUUUCAAUCCCCAAGUAUAAAAGCAAUGCUCUGCCCUAAUUGAAGGGGACGAGCAACCGGUAAGGAAAAUAAAAAUCCUCCUUUUCCCUUUGAAUCUGUGACAGUUACAAUUAGUUAUAUUGAAUUCAUUUUCCACUUUUAAAUACUUGCUAGCUAGUAGACAACAGAACAAAGCUUUGUCGAUGUUUGCUUUUCUUUUCUCUACCAAAGAAUGGUUGAGUUCUUUUGUCGCCAUGUUGCUAAGAUUCUGUUGUGAUUGCUCCAAUUUGUUAGUUUAGAAUUUCUAUAAGUUUGUUGAGAAGAUCUAUUGAAUUUCCAUGUUUCUGUAUAUUUUUAUCAGCCUACCUAUGAUCUACUUGCAUUACUCUCUAUUUUAAGCACAUUAGUUUAGAAUUUUGCCAAGUUUCCUCUGCAUUUUUUUACCCCUUUAUAUAAUGUUUACUACAUGAGUUCUUUUGGAAGUUUUUAAAGAGUUUGUAUGCUCUUAGAUUAAGUUGACUGAUCUCCAUUUUCUAGCCAUGUUUGUGAAGUUUCCAGCCCAUUGUCUUUCAUGCUUCAACUUUUGUUUAAUGUCCACAGUUUCCUAAAUCAUGAUUUCCACUCUCUUUUGAAUCCAAGUUUAUUUAAUUUAGGUUAUAUUCUGUCUUUCAGUGUUCUCUUUCAAGCUUUCCAAAAGCAGGAUGGAAGUCUCGAUUUCCCACACUUAGUUAGAUUCAGUUUACGCUCUUAUUCCUAGUUCUCAUAUUUAAAAUUCUAGUUUCCCACAUUAGUGUUUAGGUCCACUUUAAUCCUUAAGGAAGUGGUGGCUUACACCAAACCUCGUGUAAGCAACUUCGUUGUUGUUGGGAAUAUGUAAGGUGCUAAAAUAUAGACCUGUAAGCAUUCUUUUUAAUGGUCAAGUUGAACCUUGAAAAGAUAUUAUUUUUGUCUAUUCUUAGUCAUAUUUUUCUGACAUGGCUUUGCUAUUUUGCGCACAUCCAAUGUUAUGUUCUUCAAUUAUGAGCAAUCCUUGAAAAGGUGAGUAUGCAUUUCAAUAUCAGUGAGUUUGUUCCCUAGUCUGCAUAUUUAUGAUUAACUGGAAUUGACAUUAUUCCAUAUUUGACCGGUAAAGAAUUGUUCAGUUGUUCCAAGGAGAGUGGCACUACCUCAUUUUCCAUAAGCUCUGCUCUGUUGUCCCUUCUGGUCCCCAAGGUUUGUACUCAGCUUUUCCCCAAUUAUUUAGUUUUCGACCUGUAUCCAAGGAGAGUGGUCCUAUCACAUUUUCUGUAAGCGAAUAAAUUGCAUAUCCAAAGUAAGAGCGAUCCCCAUAUGUGAAGGAAGUAGAAAGUUAGGGUUGCACCUGGAUACAAAAGGUAUUAUACUACAUCAAGAUUAUGUUUAUGCUUACCUAUUUAUUUAUCAAUCUAAGUUAAUUUCCCUAUCUACUGGUGUUACAAAUGCUACUUGCUUGACAGCCUUAUAGUGAGCAAGACCCGAUGCUUACAAUGUCAGCGCAGAAGGUAAUUGACAUAAGAUAUGCUCUACCAUUGUUUAUUUGUGUGAGCUUGUCCUACUGGCUUGUGGUGCAGAUCAACAUGUCAAUUCCACGGGGAAAGAUAACACGGAGUUAAGUUCCCACAGAAGACCUUCUACCAGCCAUUCAGAAGAUACUUGACGAAGUUGAUGAUCAUGCACAAGCAAAGUUAUUUGAACAAGCCUUCAGUUCUUCACAGUCUUCAGCAUAGAUGUUUACAAUUACUUGCAUAUACCUUAGUUUGUUCUCUUUGUUUGAGGGAAAGCAUACUUCCAGUGUGAGGAGGUUUGGUGAGCCAUAUUUGUGACACUUUAUCUUGGGUUAUUUUGAGCUUUAAUUGUACAAAUACCAACAUAAUUCUCUGAAACUUGUGUAGCAAAUGGAGGAAAAUGAAUUCACGGGAAAAUGGAGUUUGGAAAUAACAGAAAAAUGCUGCAAAAAUGAGCUAAAAGGGAAAAAAUGGGAGUGCUAAUAGAAGAAUGGUUGAAUUCUAUCGUUGCUUGUUGCUAAGAUUCUGUUGUGAUUGCUCCAAUUAGUUAGUUUAGAAUUUCUGAAAGUUUGUUGAGAAGCUCUAUUGAAUUCCAUGUUACUGUAUAUUUUUCUAGCCUACCUAUGAUCUACUUGCAUUGCUCUCUGUUUUAACCACAUUAGUUUAGAAUUUGCUAAGUUUCCUGUGAAUGUAUUUACCCCUUCAUAUGAUGUUUAUUACAUACUUCUUUUCGAAGUUAAUGAAAUCAAUUUCUAUGCUCUUAGAUUAAGUUGACUGGUCUCUAUUUUCUAGCAAUUUCAUUGCCGCUGGGAAUAUGUGUGGUGCUAAAAUAUAGACAUGUAAUCAUUCUUUUUAUGGUCAAAUUGAACCUUGAAAAGAUAUUAUUUUUGUCUAUUCUUAGUUAUAAUUUUUUGACAUGGCUUUGCCAUUUUGCACACAUCCAAUGUCAAAUUCAUCAAUUAUGAGCAGUCCUUCAAAAGGUCAGUAUGCUUAUCAAAAUCAGUGAGUUUUUUCCCUAGUCUUUAUGAUUGACUGGAAUUGACAUUAUUUCAUAUUUGACCUGUAAAGAAUUGUACAGGUUCCAUGAAGUGUGGUCCUAUCACAUUUUCUAUAAGCUCUACUUUGUGUCCUUUUUGGUCUCCAAGGUAGGCUGAGGUUAAGAAGUGCUUCUGAACGCAACUAUCUCAAUCCGAGUGAAUAUUUUCAGAUCCCAAACAUUGAUAAUGAACAAAAGCUUCACAAUCUUAUGGUCAAUGACAGGCCUUGAAUAUGCACUGUAUGGUUAGCUACACUCAUUUGUGUUUGUCGUACUCAGUCAUUAUUCAAGCACCCAACCACUUUUGUGUCUGGAGAGGUUUGAAUCUUUAGUGAAGAAACUGAUCUUUUUACUGAACUUUCUAAUCUUUUUUAGCAUAUUUAUUAAUUAUAGCAUAUGUUUCCACCCCUUAAGUAGCCUUAGAUUCUAUAAAGAUGACCAGGAACGCCUCAAAAUGCUUGCUACAGUUUUGUGGCUGGGAAACAAAAGCACAUCGAGGUUUUUCCUGAUGAAGGUAAAUGCAAUUCUUUUUCCCAAUCCUUUGUAAUUAGUCCUCAUCUUUUCAAAACUUCAGUUUUUGUUGUGUAUUAUAUGGGAGAUAAUUAGUUACAUUGAAGGGAAAUUCUCAUUGGGGGUCUACUAUGGGAAGUUG